AGAAAAUUCUGACGGUACUGAGGAAUAGCUCGGCUAACUCCGUGCCAGCAGCCGCGGUAAUACGGGGGAGGCAAGCGUUAUCCGGAAUUAUUGGGCGUAAAGCGUCCGCAGGUGGUCAUCCAAGUCUGCUGUCAAAUCAGGUUGCUUAACUACCUAAAGGCGGUGGAAACUGGCAGACUAGAGAGCAGUAGGGGUAGCAGGAAAUUCCCAGUGUAGCGGUGAAAUGCGUAGAGAUUGGGAAAGAACAUCUGUGGCGAAAGCGUGCUACUGGG
This 272-nucleotide ribosomal RNA is filed under the name uncultured Microcystis sp. RNAcentral describes it as "partial 16S ribosomal RNA". It matches the Rfam family "Bacterial small subunit ribosomal RNA", at positions 461 to 733 of the family's 1533-position model. The record is from RNAcentral. Lineage: Bacteria; Bacillati; Cyanobacteriota; Cyanophyceae; Chroococcales; Microcystaceae.